RNAcentral lists this ribosomal RNA (1432 nucleotides) under Staphylococcus saprophyticus. RNAcentral describes it as "16S ribosomal RNA". It matches the Rfam family "Bacterial small subunit ribosomal RNA". Lineage: Bacteria; Bacillati; Bacillota; Bacilli; Caryophanales; Staphylococcaceae. The record is from RNAcentral.
AUGCGAGUCGUGCGGACAGAUAAGGAGCUUGCUCCUUUGAAGUUAGCGGCGGACGGGUGAGUAACACGUGGGUAACCUACCUAUAAGACUGGGAUAACUUCGGGAAACCGGAGCUAAUACCGGAUAACAUUUAGAACCGCAUGGUUCUAAAGUGAAAGAUGGUUUUGCUAUCACUUAUAGAUGGACCCGCGCCGUAUUAGCUAGUUGGUAAGGUAACGGCUUACCAAGGCGACGAUACGUAGCCGACCUGAGAGGGCGAUCGGCCACACUGGAACUGAGCCAUGAUCAACUCUUCUACGGGAGGCAGCAGUAGGGAAUCUUCCGCAAUGGGCGAAAGCCUGACGGAGCAACGCCGCGUGAGUGAUGAAGGGUUUCGGCUCGUAAAACUCUGUUAUUAGGGAAGAACAAWKKKGUAAGUAACCUGUGCACAUCUUGACGGUACCUAAUCAGAAARSCACGGCUAACUACGUGCCAGCAGCCGCGGUAAUACGUAGGUGGCAAGCGUWAUCCGGAAUUAUUGGGCGURAAGCGCGCGUAGGCGGUUUCUUAAGUCUGAUGUGAAAGCCCACGGCUCAACCGUGGAGGGUCAUUGGAAACUGGGAAACUUGAGUGCAGAAGAGGAAAGUGGAAUUCCAUGUGUAGCGGUGAAAUGCGCAGAGAUAUGGAGGAACACCAGUGGCGAAGGCGACUUUCUGGUCUGUAACUGACGCUGAUGUGCGAAAGCGUGGGGAUCAAACAGGAUUAGAUACCCUGGUAGUCCACGCCGUAAACGAUGAGUGCUAAGUGUUAGGGGGUUUCCGCCCCUUAGUGCUGCAGCUAACGCAUUAAGCACUCCGCCUGGGGAGUACGACCGCAAGGUUGAAACUCAAAGGAAUUGACGGGGACCCCGCACMAGCGKKGRAGCAUGUGGUUUAAUUCGAAGCAACGCGAAGAMMCUUACCAAWUCUUGACAUCSUUUUGAAAACUCUAGAGAUAGAGSCUUUCCCCUUUCGGGGKACAAAGUGACAGGUGGYGCAUGGUUGUCGUCAGCUCGUGUCGUGAGAUGUUGGGUUAAGUCCCGCAACGAGCGCAACCCUUAAGCUUAGUUGCCAUCAUUAAGUUGGGCACUCUAGGUUGACUGCCGGUGACAAACCGGAGGAAGGUGGGGAUGACGUCAAAUCAUCAUGCCCCUUAUGAUUUGGGCUACACACGUGCUACAAUGGACAAUACAAAGGGCAGCUAAACCGCGAGGUCAUGCAAAUCCCAUAAAGUUGUUCUCAGUUCGGAUUGUAGUCUGCAACUCGACUACAUGAAGCUGGAAUCGCUAGUAAUCGUAGAUCAGCAUGCUACGGUGAAUACGUUCCCGGGUCUUGUACACACCGCCCGUCACACCACGAGAGUUUGUAACACCCGAAGCCGGUGGAGUAACCAUUUAUGGAGCUAGCCGUCGAAG